This 56-nucleotide transfer RNA is filed under the name Hemidactylus fasciatus (banded leaf-toed gecko). RNAcentral's name for it is "partial tRNA-Cys". The record is from RNAcentral. Lineage: Eukaryota; Metazoa; Chordata; Lepidosauria; Squamata; Gekkonidae.
CCCCGAGAAGGCGGAGUGCAAAUUCGCCAUAAGCACCCUUAUAGGUGCCGGGGCUU